Parasteatoda tepidariorum (common house spider) is the source of this 902-nucleotide non-coding RNA. The record is from RefSeq and is a predicted model, not a curated record. NCBI's taxonomy places the organism in Eukaryota, Metazoa, Arthropoda, Arachnida, Araneae, Theridiidae.
AUUAUAAAUGAUCUACAGAUCAAUGAAAAUGCUGUUAUUUUUAUAGAAUAUUUUAACGCUUUUCGGCAGAGCAAAUUUAUAACACUUUGCUAACGGCGCUAGAUAUAAUAUAAUAAAAUAUUAAUGAACCCCGUCAUUCUGGUCCACCUGUGAUACUAGUUGUUAGCAAGAGAUAAAUGGAAAAUUUUGCACGUACAAUAUGCUAUCGGAAACUGCGACCGUAGAUCGCGAAUUCAAAGUAAAAAUAUAUUCUUGAACUCAGUUUAACGAAUAGAGGCAAAAAUCUGGAAAACGUUUAGAAGCGAAUAGUUUUACAAUUUUAGUCGUUUGCAAUAUUUUUGAAAUAAGUGUUGUCAAACUGGACGCAUUGGGCGUUAAAUAAAUAAAAUAUUAAUAAUUAUAAAAAAUAUUUCUUUUUAUUUUUCAUAGGUAUGCGAACGCCUUUCAAUGUUUAAAAAUUAAAUUUUAAAUGACUCACUAAUUCUUCUUUUAUUGUUUUUAGGCAGCAAGACUGACUCGUAUCGGCAGCAAAUUACGCCAAAUAUCAUUUGAGAUGCGAGUAUUUGGAUAUCAACAGUGCUCCAUGUUAGAAUUAGAUUCUUUUGUACUAUUUGUUGGAGGAGCUACCCUAAGAUCGAAGCUUUUUGGAGCAACUAUUAGAUCUUCAACUGUUAUUCUGACUGUUGGACUCUCUUUAUUUGUACUACUUACAUUAAUGGUGGUCGAUCUUCUGUCUGUUUCUGGAUUUGAUAUGCUCUUUUGAAAAGGAAUCAAGCUCGAUAUUUUGAACGAGUGAUUUUUUUGUUUUUGUUUUACAAAGCGUUUGUGAUAUAAUACUGAGAAUUUAAACGUUUCGUUAUUUAUUUGAUUGUACAGUAGAAAAAUAAAUGAAUUGAUUUUAA